RNAcentral lists this transfer RNA (67 nucleotides) under Marmota monax (woodchuck). RNAcentral's name for it is "tRNA.Ala". The record is from RNAcentral. Lineage: Eukaryota; Metazoa; Chordata; Mammalia; Rodentia; Sciuridae.
GGUCGUAGUUCAGUGGUAGAGCGUUCACCUAGCAAAUGGGAAACCAUGGGUUCAAACCUCAGCACCA